GAGAAUUGUGAUGCCCGGAUCAUUAAGCUACAGUAAUCCCCCGUUAAUGGUGCCAUGUCAUCACAUUACUGUUGCUAAUCCUUGUUUGAUCCAACUCUUAGUUCAAACUCAAAUUCAAAUUAAAGCUUAAAAUUUAAAUUUCCCGACCAUGCAAAAUAAAAUGUUCAAAGUGUGGGAAAUAUUACAUAACUAAUUAUGGUGGUGAUCCAACACUUUUGUAAAGUAUUUGAAUGCUCUUUUGUGAAUAUAACAGUGACUAAAAAUAAUUGUUAAAUGCCUUUCCUAAUUUAAAAUUUUAAACUAUUUUUAUUAUGUGUGAAACCUUUUGUGGUUGUGGUUUAUUUUGUAAAUCGAUUUAUAGAGACAGUCAUAUGUUUUAGUAAAGCUGUUUUUGCCUACUAAAAUAAUAUAAACAAAGUGUAAUAAAAAGAAAGAAAACCAAAACGAAACAAAAUAAAUAAAUAAAAAGAACCAGCCUACCCCCGGGCUUUGGCCCACUAAACCAUCAGGCCGGCCCACCCUCACCGAACCCUCCUCUCUCUCCUAUUCACGCGACCAGGUCGCUACAGGGGCUUGGUCGCCGCCGCACCCUCUCGCCGACAGCGCCGGGAGGGGAUAAGGGCGCCACGCCCCGACCCCUCGAUCCCACCCCCCCACUCCUUCCCUCUCUCCCUCCCCACAGAUCUCCCAUGCCCCAAGCACGUCCAUGGCCGCGUCAUCAUCGUUCCCAUGGCCGGAGCCGUCCCCGACCCGUGAGGUUAUGCUCUGCAGCUCCGUUGACCUCGUCUGCAUCGCCUACAACCUUCGGUUCGAGCUGAAGCCCUCCACAACCUCGCCAUCUGGUCGUCUUCCCCGCCACGGCCACGGCGCCAUCGCCGUCGAUCUCCAUCACCGGCGCCUCCCGGCGGUUCCAGGCACGUCCACGACCUCCCUCGAAACACCGAGAUCGACGCCACUGCUACCCAGUACGACUACGGAGUUGACGACCCCUCUCUCUUGCCAGAGCAACCAG
Molecule: RNA transcript, 1012 nt
Organism: Triticum aestivum (bread wheat)
Lineage: Eukaryota; Viridiplantae; Streptophyta; Magnoliopsida; Poales; Poaceae
Exons: 2
Source: RefSeq, a predicted model, not a curated record